Molecule: long non-coding RNA, 585 nt
Organism: Serinus canaria (Common canary)
Lineage: Eukaryota; Metazoa; Chordata; Aves; Passeriformes; Fringillidae
Exons: 4
Source: RefSeq, a predicted model, not a curated record
UGCUGACACCCCAAGAGAUGAGCUGCUGCCUUUUGCUGUGAAUCACAGCAGCCCCAGAUGUGCCAGGAGGGGAAGAGUCUGGCUGAGGACCAGGAGGUGUGAGAACAGCAGAGGCAGCAGAUAUCGUGAUCCAACACCAGGCUGCUGGACCAAGAUAAAAGAAAAAGCGUCUGUUUCCUUCAGUAUCUAUUCACCUGAAUUGGGUAGCAGGAUGCCAUGGUGGCUCAGGAGGGAAAGAAGAGGCCACUGUGCCUGCCAUGUGCUGUUUGGCACUGCAGCAAGGAGCAGGGCAGAGGUUGCAGGAAUGCUGGAUGGCUGCACCCUGAAAAGAUGAGGAAAAGAUGAGGAAGGAGUCGUGUGGAGUCAGUGACUCACACAGUUAAGGUUUGGUGUGGCUGAAUGGCAAGAUAACAACAUGAUUUUACCAUAAAAGGGGCAAAUAUGUAAUUACUGUGCUAUAUGAGAUUCAAUUAAAUGGCAACAUCAAUUAAACAGCUUCCAGAGCUUUUGUUUGGAAGCUUGCAAGGCUUUAUUUCCUGCAAAAGCUGUUCAUUGAGUGUCAACAAUUAUUUCCCCUGCAAAUGA